Molecule: long non-coding RNA, 302 nt
Organism: Larimichthys crocea (large yellow croaker)
Lineage: Eukaryota; Metazoa; Chordata; Actinopteri; Sciaenidae
Exons: 4
Source: RefSeq, a predicted model, not a curated record
CAUCCUCUUACUGUCGUCCCUCGGGAGGUGCUAUCCUGGGUUUUGACGUCAGGCUUUAGGGGUAGCCAACAUGUUUGGCUUUGAUAAGCAGUUUUUCUUCCCAAAAGCUGCACUUAACGAAGUCACUGGGUGUACAGAGAACGUGCGUGCCGUGACCUGACUCUGACUCUCAUCAGCAGCUUUGACACCCUCGACGCUGAGAAAGAAACAACAACUGGCCGUGAUGUCACGAUUGGAGGAGUGUGUUGUUUUUGCUCAGCUCAUCCCCUGGAGAGGCUACAGUGUCAGAGGUUUAUACAGGC